RNAcentral lists this long non-coding RNA (465 nucleotides) under Sus scrofa (pig). Its description in RNAcentral is "lncRNA (ENSSSCG00050039651.1)". Lineage: Eukaryota; Metazoa; Chordata; Mammalia; Artiodactyla; Suidae. The record is from RNAcentral.
AUGCAGCAGGUCAUCCCUCUGUACCUUCCCUUUCUGACCAUUUUCUUGACUUCCUUUCUGGCUUUCAUAUCCCACCUCACCACCAUCCGUGCUACAGAAGCAGCAUUGGGUGGCACAUGGGAUCUCUUUGAGACUCAGGAGUCACUUCAGCUUCCAGAUCAGAGGAAAAUGAAGACCAGCAAUCUCCCCCUGAAGAUGACACUCAUUGACAGAGACUACAAUCUAAUGGAGACCGUCAACCCUAUAGAAGAUUCCAGAGUCAAGAUUAGUACACAGAUGAGGAAGACCAACACUCCAAAAGAUAGCGAACUCAAUCAAGUCAAGCAAAGCAGGAAUUAAGAAUAUGCAUAAGUAGAUUUUUCCAAUAGAUGGGUGGGGAUAGAGCAGUCACAAACCAACCAACUAGAUGUCAUGGAGAUUUAAACUUGGUCCUUGUAAUAAAAAACUGAAUAAGCAGAUGAAACA